RNAcentral lists this transfer RNA (72 nucleotides) under Diaphorina citri (Asian citrus psyllid). It matches the Rfam family "tRNA". From Rfam's summary of the family: Transfer RNA (tRNA) molecules are approximately 80 nucleotides in length. Their secondary structure includes four short double-helical elements and three loops (D, anti-codon, and T loops). Lineage: Eukaryota; Metazoa; Arthropoda; Insecta; Hemiptera; Psyllidae. The record is from Rfam by way of RNAcentral.
GCCUCGGUGGUGUAGUGGUCAAGACGCUCGCCUGGUAAUCAGGAGGGCGUGGGUUCCAUCCCGGCCGAGGUA